AGCUUUUCACCCCCUCGGGCCGCGGCUAAACGCUGCGCGAGCCAAGUAGUCUGGAAAAUCUCCACUUUCUUAUUUCUUGCCCUGCUUCCUCUGAUCGGAAAUUUGGAGGUAAAGAAGAAUACCACAUAAUAAAAACAAAAAAGAAGCAAAAGAAAUGGGUUCGUCCUCGUCAUUCAGAGCAUUUGGCGCUAUUCUUCACAGGUUCUCUCAUGGCUUCUCCUCCAAAUGCCCCAACUCCUUUGGUCUCCGAAGAAAUGGUUUGCUAAGCAGAAAUUUAUCAUCCUCAUCAACAAUAUCACAGCUCUCCUCAUUGUAUUUGGUUGAAAACAAGUAUAGCAGGCGUUAUGUUCAAGUGAGAAUGAUAUGGACAUUCUCUCCUGUUUGUAUGGGCAGGCGUUCCUCCAAAAUCGCUGGCAGAAAGGGGGCGCAAGAUGCAAAGAAGGCAAAGCUAUAUUGUAGGAUUGGAAAGGAAGUCGUAUCUGCUGUAAAGAAAUGGGGUCCAAAUCCAAUAUCAAAUACGGCUCUGGCUGCUGUACUUGAGAAAGCCAAGGAGCUUGAUGUGCCAAAGGAAAUUCUGGACCGCAAUAUUAAGAAAGCUUCUGAGAAGGGACAAGAGGCAUACAUUGAAAAAAUUUACGAGGUAUAUGGUUAUGGUGGAGUUAGUAUGGUAGUUGAGGUCUCAACAGAUAAGAUAAAGCGGUCUAUAGCAGUUGUUAGAGAGGUAGUGAAGGACUAUGGGGGAAAGAUGGCAGAUCCAGGAUCUGUAAUGUUCAAGUUCAGACGUGUCCGGGUUGUAAAUGUAAAGGUCACAGAUGUUGACAAAGACCAGCUCCUUGCCAUUGCUUUGGAUGCUGGUGCUGAGGAUGUUAUUGAACCUCCAAUAUAUGAAGAUGAUACUGAAGAAGAUAGGUCGGAAAGAACGGUUCAAACCUGGAAUUGUGUAUACUCGACGUCUACCAACUUUGCCCCUUCCCGAGACUGACCCUUCAUCCGAAACUGUUUCGACAACUUCUCUUGAGAUUGACAUGUCAUUCAAGACAGGUCCGAUCAAUUCUCCCAUGCCCCCUGAGCCUGGUCCUCGACGAUCUACUUGAGUAUCAUGUCCUCCUGAUCAGUAUGGUUUUUCCCACACUUCUUUUAAUGCUACUUUGUCUUCUAUUUCCAUCCCUACAUGCUUUUCCAAGGCAGUUAAACAUGAAUGUUGGCGAAAAGCAAUGGAUGAGGAACUUCAGGCUCUCAAGGACAAUCAUACAUGGGACGUGGUUCCUUGCCCCUCUAAUUUUAAAGCCAUCGGUUGUAAAUGUGCUUACUCAAUUAAGCUCUGCUCUGAUGGGACUCUGGACCGGUAUAAUGCACGGUUAUUUGCCCUUGGGAACAUGCAAGAAUAUGGGGUGGACUAUGAGGAGACAUUUGCUCCGGUGGCGAAGAUGACUAUAGUGCGUACGGUUAUUUCUAUUGCCUCCUCCCAAGGUAGGCCACUUCACCAGAUGGACGUCAAAAAUGCUUUUCUUCAUGGUGAUCUCAAAGAGCAUAUUUACAUGACUCCUCUUCUGGGUUUGUUUUCUUCUCCGUCAUUCGCUGUGUGUAAGUUAAAGCGGUCUCUCUAUGGCUUAAAACAAGCUCCCCGGGUAUGGUUUGAAAAAUUCAGGUCUACUCUGUGUUGCUUCUCCUUUGUCCAAAGCUACUAUGACUCCUCUUUGUUUCUUUGCAAGACUCCGACUGGUCUCGUUCUUUUACUUGUGUAUGUGGAUGAUAUUGUCAUUACUGGCAUUGACUCCAACUUGAUUGCCCACCUCAAGCAGAAUCUUCAGGCUUCUUUUCAUAUGAAAGACCUUGGUCCUCUUACGUAUUUUUUGGGGUUGGAAGUGCACACUGAUUUUUCAGGUAUAUUCUUGAAUCAAUACAAAAUAUACCCAGGAUUUGAUUAGCCUGGCUGGUCUUCAGGAUUCUUCUUCGGUGGAUACUCCUAUGGAGGUCAAUGUUAAAUAUUGAAGUGAGGAGUGUGAUCUUCUUUCUGAUCCUACUGUGUUCCGAUAGUUGAUAGGUAGCUUGAACUAUUUGACUAUUACUCGGCCUGAUAUUUCCUUUGCUGUCCAGCAGGUUAGCCAAUUUAUGCAAACUCUAUGCCAUCUUCAUUUAGCUGCUGUUCGCUGGAUCAUUCGAUAUCUUCAGGGGUCACCUAGCUAUGGGUUGUUCUUUCCAAUCGGCUCCUCUUCGCCUUGUUGCUUAUAGUGAUGCGGAUUGGGCCGGAUGUCUUGAUACUCGGCGGUUUGUCACGGGUUGGUGCAUGUAUCUUGGUGAUUCUUUGAUCUCUUGGAAGAGUAAGAAACAAGCUUGUGUUUCUAAAUCCUCUACUGAAUCCGAAUACCGGGCAAUGUCUGCUUCUUGUUCUGAGAUUGUCUGGCUUCGUGAGCUUCUGGCUGAGCUUGGUUUUUCUCAAUCUGAUUCUACUCCUCUUCAUGUUGAUAAUAUUAGUGCCAUUCUAAUCACUGCUAAUCCUGUUUACCAUGAGCGUACAAAGCAUAUUGAGAUAUUAUAAAAUUGUAAGUUCAUCAGAGAACUACACGGCAAUACUAUCAAAACUACGCGAGGAAGGGAUACAUUUUGAGCCUG
Corylus avellana is the source of this 2613-nucleotide RNA transcript. It is a transcript of the gene named YebC-like protein, with no coding region annotated. Lineage: Eukaryota; Viridiplantae; Streptophyta; Magnoliopsida; Fagales; Betulaceae. The record is from RefSeq and is a predicted model, not a curated record.